AUGAAGUGUGGAAGCCAAUUCUUAUCAUGGUGCUCUGCCAGGCAAAUUCAGUCACGAGAUGCAUCAUGGCGGAACUUUUCUUGGGUAUGGCUCAAACAGAAGCUGGCAUUUAGACCAAAAAAAGUUGAUUGCUUUCAUGAAAAACUGGGUAUGGUUCUCGGCAGAUGCUCUUCCAUGUUUUCGAGCUCAGAGUGGGAAGAAGGCAGGUUUUGGUUGGCCGUAGCUCCUUUGGCUAUUCUGGUGCUGGAGCAAGGAAAGUUAACUGCAGAUCAAGCGGCGAAAGGGCUGGCGGCAACUUAUCCAUGGAAAUGGGAUUGGCACGUGAUGGUUUGUUUUCCUUCGGCUGCCAGGGUCGAAUAA
RNAcentral lists this ribosomal RNA (360 nucleotides) under Triticum aestivum (bread wheat). Its description in RNAcentral is "partial small subunit ribosomal RNA". The record is from RNAcentral. Lineage: Eukaryota; Viridiplantae; Streptophyta; Magnoliopsida; Poales; Poaceae.